GAUGAACGCUGGCGGCGUGCUUAACACAUGCAAGUCGAACGAAGCGCUUAAGAUUGAUUCUUCGGAUGAUUUCUUUUGCGACUUAGUGGCGGACGGGAGAGUAACGCGUGGGUAACCUGCCUCACACAGGGGGAUAACAGUUAGAAAUGACUGCUAAUACCGCAUAACCCGAUAGGAUCGCAUGAUCCAGACGGAAAAGAUUUAUCGGUGUGAGAUGGACCCGCGUCGGAUUAGCUAGUUGGUGAGGUAACGGCCCACCAAGGCGACGAUCAGUAGCCGGCCUGAGAGGGGGAACGGCCACAUUGGGACUGAGACACGGCCCAAACUCCUACGGGAGGCAGCAGUGGGGAAUAUUGCACAAUGGGGGAAACCCUGAUGCAGCGACGCCGCGUGAGUGAGGAAGUAUUUCGGUAUGUAAAGCUCUAUCAGCAGGGAAGAAAAUGACGGUACCUGACUAAGAAGCCCCGGCUAACUACGUGCCAGCCGCCGCGGUAA
This 495-nucleotide ribosomal RNA is filed under the name uncultured bacterium. Its description in RNAcentral is "partial 16S ribosomal RNA". It matches the Rfam family "Bacterial small subunit ribosomal RNA", at positions 28 to 523 of the family's 1533-position model. The record is from RNAcentral.